UGCAUAGUGACCCAGAAGGUGCUGGCUCCCCUCGAAGAGGCAGCUGCAGAACACAGAAGAGCCAGCAUCAGCUCCUCAGCCACCUGGGCCAUGACAAGCUUUCCAACAAGCAAGAGCUCCCUUUUAGCAUGGCCACUCUUUCGUGGCAUCAGAAAAUCAAAGGAUUGAGAGAGAUGGAACUCUUGCUUUCAGCUUUGUGGUGCCUAUACCUGGAACAGGACACAUGUCCCCCUUCUCUGUGAUGCUUACACCCUAAUGGUUCAGAUUCUAUGUAUUUAUUUGACAUGGAGAGAGCGAGUGAG
This is a long non-coding RNA of Lontra canadensis (Northern American river otter), 302 nucleotides long. RefSeq lists it as uncharacterized. Lineage: Eukaryota; Metazoa; Chordata; Mammalia; Carnivora; Mustelidae. The transcript is spliced from 3 exons. The record is from RefSeq and is a predicted model, not a curated record.